RNAcentral lists this ribosomal RNA (253 nucleotides) under uncultured bacterium. RNAcentral describes it as "partial 16S ribosomal RNA". It matches the Rfam family "Bacterial small subunit ribosomal RNA", at positions 524 to 776 of the family's 1533-position model. The record is from RNAcentral.
UACAGGGGGGGCAAGCGUUGUUCGGAAUUACUGGGCGUAAAGGGCGCGUAGGCGGCCUGCUAAGUCGAACGUGAAAUCCCCGAGCUCAACUCGGGAACUGCGUCCGAUACUGGCAGGCUUGAAUCCGGGAGAGGGAUGCGGAAUUCCAGGUGUAGCGGUGAAAUGCGUAGAUAUCGGGAGGAACACCUGUGGCGAAAGCGGCGCACUGGACCAUAACUGACGCUGAGGCGCGAAAGCGUGGGGAGCGAACAGG